UACGUAGGGCGCAAGCGUUAAUCGGAAUUACUGGGCGUAAAGCGUGCGCAGGCGGUCGCGUAAGCCAGAUGUGAAAUCCCCGGGCUUAACCUGGGAACUGCAUUUGGUACUGCGUGGCUGGAGUGCGGCAGAGGAAGGUGGAAUUCCUGGUGUAGCAGUGAAAUGCGUAGAGAUCAGGAGGAACACCGAUGGCGAAGGCAGCCUUCUGGGCCAGCACUGACGCUCAUGCACGAAAGCGUGGGGAGCAGACGGG
Molecule: ribosomal RNA, 253 nt
Filed under: uncultured bacterium
Lineage: Bacteria
Description: partial 16S ribosomal RNA
Rfam family: Bacterial small subunit ribosomal RNA
Source: RNAcentral